GCUAAAUGGAUACCACCUCCGUCGGGAGUGGCGAAGAUCAGAGUUGAUGGAGCAACUGCGAGAAAUACCCUCGAGGGUACGUUCAGCGCAGUGUGCAAAGAUGAUACCGGGUUAUUCCUAGGAGCCUCGGCGAUCAAGAUUCCGGGAGUGGUGGAUCCGGCUACUCUGGAAGCCUUGGCAUGUCGUGAGGCGCUUGCUCUAGUGUCGGACUUGGAUAUUUCCCGGCUUGUUAUUGCAUCGGACUGCCAGGGAGUGAUCAGGGACAUCAAAGAAGGCACGGGAGAAUUAUAUGCUAGUACUAUCAAGGAGAUCAAUGAGACGGCACAUGACUUUGAUCAUUGCACCUUCAUCUUUGAGGGCAGAUCGACAAAUAUCGAGGCACAUAGCGUCGCUAAACACGCUUUCGGACUAGAUUAUGGGCGCCACUUAUGGCUUAUAAACCCACCAGACAUUCAUUGUAUUCCUAUGAACUUUUAUGAUCAAUAA
RNAcentral lists this ribosomal RNA (486 nucleotides) under Triticum aestivum (bread wheat). RNAcentral describes it as "partial small subunit ribosomal RNA". Lineage: Eukaryota; Viridiplantae; Streptophyta; Magnoliopsida; Poales; Poaceae. The record is from RNAcentral.